This 67-nucleotide transfer RNA is filed under the name Cuon alpinus (dhole). Its description in RNAcentral is "tRNA-Val". It matches the Rfam family "tRNA". Rfam says of the family: Transfer RNA (tRNA) molecules are approximately 80 nucleotides in length. Their secondary structure includes four short double-helical elements and three loops (D, anti-codon, and T loops). RNAcentral also lists the same sequence under 1 other name. Lineage: Eukaryota; Metazoa; Chordata; Mammalia; Carnivora; Canidae. The record is from RNAcentral.
CAAAGUGUAGCUUAACUAAAGCAUCUGGCUUACACCCAGAAGAUUUCAUUAUUCAUGACCACUUUGA